Canis lupus familiaris (dog) is the source of this 89-nucleotide non-coding RNA. NCBI's taxonomy places the organism in Eukaryota, Metazoa, Chordata, Mammalia, Carnivora, Canidae. The record is from Rfam.
CGGGGGAGGCCGUAUCCUGGGCUGUGUCCCGGCGCCCUGUGCUCCGGGGCCUGCGCUGUUGGAUUCGCGCUCCUGCCCCACAGCCCCCU